GCCCUUGUAGCUCAAUGGCUAGAGCAUGCGACUUUUAAUCGCAAGGCUGUGGGUUCGAGCCCCACCAAGGGCU
This 73-nucleotide transfer RNA is filed under the name Kwoniella mangroviensis CBS 8507. Its description in RNAcentral is "tRNA-Lys (TTT) (tRNA-Lys-TTT-1-1, tRNA-Lys-TTT-1-2)". It matches the Rfam family "tRNA". Rfam says of the family: Transfer RNA (tRNA) molecules are approximately 80 nucleotides in length. Their secondary structure includes four short double-helical elements and three loops (D, anti-codon, and T loops). Lineage: Eukaryota; Fungi; Basidiomycota; Tremellomycetes; Tremellales; Cryptococcaceae. RNAcentral also lists the same sequence under 2 other names. The record is from RNAcentral.